RNAcentral lists this transfer RNA (74 nucleotides) under Lactobacillus phage ATCC 8014-B2. It matches the Rfam family "tRNA". From Rfam's summary of the family: Transfer RNA (tRNA) molecules are approximately 80 nucleotides in length. Their secondary structure includes four short double-helical elements and three loops (D, anti-codon, and T loops). Further hydrogen bonds mediate the characteristic L-shaped molecular structure. tRNAs have two regions of fundamental functional importance: the anti-codon, which is responsible for specific mRNA codon recognition, and the 3' end, to which the tRNAs corresponding amino acid is attached (by aminoacyl-tRNA synthetases). tRNAs cope with the degeneracy of the genetic code in two manners: having more than one tRNA (with a specific anti-codon) for a particular amino acid; and 'wobble' base-pairing, i.e. permitting non-standard base-pairing at the 3rd anti-codon position. Lineage: Duplodnaviria; Heunggongvirae; Uroviricota; Caudoviricetes. The record is from Rfam by way of RNAcentral.
GCGUCCUUAGCUCAACUGGAUAGAGCAACGGAUUUCUAAUCCGUAGGUUGUCGGACCGUACCCGACAGGACGCA